UGACUGGGGUGAAGUCGUAACAAGGUAGCCGUAGGGGAACCUGCGGCUGGAUCACCUCCUUAAUCGACGACAUCAGCCUGCUGAUGAGCUCCCACACGAAUUGCUUGAUUCAUUGUCGAAGACGAUCAAGACCCUAUAUAGGUCUGUAGCUCAGUUGGUUAGAGCGCACCCCUGAUAANGGUGAGGUCGGCAGUUCAAAUCUGCCCAGACCUACCAAUAUGCGGGGCCAUAGCUCAGCUGGGAGAGCGCCUGCCUUGCACGCAGGAGGUCAGCGGAUCGAUCCCGCUUGGCUCCACCACUUGCUGUACCUUGAUCAAACUCANAAAUGAGCAUUCCCGUCUAAUGUUGAUUUCUGGCUUUUGUCAGAUCGUUCUUUAAAAAUUCGGAUAUGUGAUAGAUAUAGACUGAACACCAGUUUCACUGCUGGUGGAUCAGGCUAANGUAAAAUUUGNGAGUUCUGCUCGAAAGAGCAACUUNCGAAUUUUCGGCGAAUGUCGUCUUCACAGUAUAACCAGAUUGCUUGGGGUUAUAUGGUCACUGAAGAAGCGCAUACGGUGGAUGCCUUGGCAGUCAGAGGCGAUGAAAGAC
Molecule: unclassified non-coding RNA, 588 nt
Filed under: Pseudomonas sp. ARK4
Lineage: Bacteria; Pseudomonadati; Pseudomonadota; Gammaproteobacteria; Pseudomonadales; Pseudomonadaceae
Description: partial contains 16S ribosomal RNA, 16S-23S ribosomal RNA intergenic spacer, and 23S ribosomal RNA
Rfam family: tRNA (bases 140-213)
Source: RNAcentral